CAGUAGCCGCGGUAAUACGAAGGGGGCUAGCGUUGUUCGGAAUUACUGGGCGUAAAGCGCGCGUAGGUGGUUUGUUAAGUUGGAUGUGAAAGCCCCGGGCUCAACCUGGGAACUGCAUCCAAAACUGGCAAGCUAGAGUACGGUAGAGGGUGGUGGAAUUUCCUGUGUAGCGGUGAAAUGCGUAGAUAUAGGAAGGAACACCAGUGGCGAAGGCGACCACCUGGACUGAUACUGACACUGAGGUGCGAAAGCGUGGGGAGCAAACAGGAUUAGAUACCCGUGUAGUCCCUGUCUCUUAUAC
This 301-nucleotide ribosomal RNA is filed under the name uncultured bacterium. Its description in RNAcentral is "partial 16S ribosomal RNA". It matches the Rfam family "Bacterial small subunit ribosomal RNA", at positions 509 to 807 of the family's 1533-position model. The record is from RNAcentral.